CGCCAGGAUCCCGCUGUCCCUUCAUCCUCUAUCAAUCAAACUCCAAGGCGCCAUGGGUAAAAAGAAGUGGAAAGGCUGCCUGCAUCAUUUGGACGCGCUCAGCCACUUCACAGAUGCAGAGACGGAGACCCAGUGCGGAGUCUUAUUCUGUUGCCCAGUGCAGUGGCACAAUCUCGGCUCACUGCAACCUCCACCUCCCGGGUUCAAGGGAUUCUCCUGCCUCAACCUCCCAAAUAGCUGGGACUACAGCUUUAACUUUUGUCCAUCUUCGUAAGACUGAAGUUCUUGGUCAACUGGAUCAACAGAUAAUUCUCCGCUGGCUGUGAUCUCUUUGGAUUUUUGUUGUGUUAUCUUUAUAUAUUAAUAUAUACAGGGUCUCACUCUGUCA
This is a non-coding RNA of Callithrix jacchus (white-tufted-ear marmoset), 388 nucleotides long. The record is from RefSeq and is a predicted model, not a curated record. Lineage: Eukaryota; Metazoa; Chordata; Mammalia; Primates; Cebidae.